UAAGGAAGCACCUGUAUUUUGUGUGGCCUGUGAAGAGAGGAAUUUGACUCAGGAAUGCAGAUAUUUCUAAUUAAGAGAGGAGGAUGAAGAUUCCAUUCCAGGGAAAGUUUACAUAGGAACUUUGUACUCAACAUUGAAUGAAUGUCCCAGGCAGGAGUGGCGAGCUCUUGAAAAUCUUGACCCUCAUUAAAAAUCUUCUGGAAGGAUGGACAGUUUGAUGUCAGGGCUGAAUUACAUCUUGAAAUCAUAGUCCAAAGUAGGCUACCUGAGGAUAACCUUAUACUCUCGGAACUUCAGUUUCCUAUUCUAUAAAAUGGGAUGACAAUGGCUGAGAGGACCA
Long non-coding RNA from Hipposideros armiger (great roundleaf bat), 340 nucleotides. RefSeq lists it as uncharacterized. The transcript has 4 exons. The record is from RefSeq and is a predicted model, not a curated record. NCBI's taxonomy places the organism in Eukaryota, Metazoa, Chordata, Mammalia, Chiroptera, Hipposideridae.